This is a long non-coding RNA of Limulus polyphemus (Atlantic horseshoe crab), 2032 nucleotides long. RefSeq lists it as uncharacterized. The record is from RefSeq and is a predicted model, not a curated record. The transcript has 4 exons. Lineage: Eukaryota; Metazoa; Arthropoda; Merostomata; Xiphosura; Limulidae.
UAUAGGUGGCGCUGUACGAACUCCAGCAAACGCUCAGCGUUUAGAUGCUCAACCAGCUGUUGCAGUUGGAAACCACUCACCAGGAGGUAGUUCAAGUAUUUCAUCCUGCUUUGGUUUGAUCUUCUUAAGCGCAGCACUGUUAGUCGUGGGGAUAAACGGGAUAUUUAUGCGGCAAUUCUGAUCUGACAGUUUUGUAGAAGUUCUACUGAGAUUUCCAGUGCCAUCAUCUUGCUACCUUGGAAUUGUGACCUCAACAAUUCUUACGAUAACGUGUAAUUUUGAUAAAUCGGAGCCUCAGAAACAGAAUGUCUAUAAAGUUUGCCGUUGCGCUCCAUCAUAAAAUUAAGUUUUUUCUAGCAAUAAAUUUGUAACAUUACCCUGAUAAAAGUAGUUCUACAAACGGCCCAGUAAUUUAUCAUAGUGUGUCAUUUUCAGAUGAAUAUAUGUAGAUGUAUCAUGAAACAGAUUUUCUGCUUUAGAAAUUCCUCAAUUACUGAAAUAGAGUUUAAUGUUUUAUUGAGAGUACAAGACGAAUAUAAUUACAAUUGAUAUAUUAUCUUUAAAUAUUCGAAGCUGUUGUAGUAAACGGAAUAAAUGGAAGGUAAAAUAUUUUAUAAAACAUCUGUUUAAAAUUUCACUAUCCUAAAUCGUUCUAGAGAACAACUGAAUGAAACUAUCGGCAGUCAUGGUUAACACACAACAUCAUCAUUCUUGGUUGUGCUUAUAACUGCUGUUUCAUAAAGAAGAAAGAUUUAAAAGCGCCUGCUUAGCAAGAGUCUAGUUUAGCAUCUAAUGAACAGUGUCGUGGUUAGUUGGUACUGUUUCUGACAGAUUUAGUAUUGCAAGGAGUAUCCUGAAAUAAUGCAGUUUUUAGAAGUAUGAAUAUUACCUUCUUCCGCUUGACGAUGUGCAGAAGUGAAAUUGUUUUCUUUUGAAAUUAGAUCUGGUUUGAACAUUCUUUCAUUAAAAAAAAAAAAACAUAAACGUAAUGUAUGCUCUAAAACUAAUAAAGAGCACGGCUUUUAAAAAGCCUAAUGUUAAACAGUUUUCAAGCUUUGCUUUAAAAUAAUCAAUAGGACAAAAUAUGAAUUGUUUAAGGGCUUAAAUUGAGACCAUUAAAUGAUAUAGAAUCAGAUGAUUAGCCCUUCGACUUUUGACAACCCUAAAUUCAUAUCCUCGUCUGACACAAAUGUUAACUAGUGUGGGCAACUAUCUCUUUUAAGAUUUUUUUUUUCAUGAAACGAAUUUUUUAAAUACAUAAAAUACAAUUACCAAGUCAUUCGAACUGCAAAGGAAAUAUGGAAGAUAUGUUGCUGGCUGUUUUACUUAUAUUAACUUUUCAAUGUGCAAAUAUUUACAGGAAUGGUUAAUGUCGUGGUUUUGUCGAAAAUAAUUUUACUUUACGACUAUUUUUUGCUGUAAAUAUAUAUAUAUAGCUAGUCAGUUGAUAUACGUUUUCAAUCUACUUGUUUUAUGUUUAACAAAUAUGUAGCUGAUUAGAUGAUUUAAUGUUCGAUUUAUAAGUCAACUUUGGACGAUUUUUAUUUGCAACGUUUCGAUAGGUCAAGAAUUUGUUGUGUUAGUUUUACUCAUCCCUCCUUAUUUCUAUUCAACUUGGUGCUAGUUUACUUACAAAGCAAGCUAUAACUAUGGUUAUUCGCUUGAUUAUGUUUAAUCAAUUAAUCAAAUGAGACUCAACUAGGGCAUUCUGACAAACUGAGGUCAGAAAGUCUAUAGGUUAGUUAUUACAAUAAGCGGGAGUUCUUUCCUAAACUACGAUCAUCGUCCAUUCGAAUCUUUAAUGUUAAAAUAUCCACAGAAGAAGGAAAAUUAUUUUAUUAAUGAGUCUAUCAAAGAGCAAAUUCGUUCUUCUUUGCUGGUAAUAGUUUACUCAUUUCUUCACUAAUUACGAGUCUGUUUUGUUAUUUUUGAAUUUGUGUGUUGCUGUAUCUUGAAUGUAAUAAAGGCUUUCAGUAUUUUCAGUGUUUUUAAAACAAGAGGAUGCUUAAUAAAGUCUAGAACAUUAAGGUCA